CCCUUUAAACAUUGGCACACAGGUUGAUAGAGGAAAGCUCAUUCUCAGUUCCUUUUGGAUGGAAAUUUCCCUCCGCUCUCAAGCCCUUCUCUCAGCUGUGAAUCACCACAUCCAUCCCAAAGUUGCACCACUUCACUGUUUACCAGGGCUUUCCUAAAAUCAUUACAGAUUGAAGAUUGCAAGAACCUCAGGGUGCCUCGAUCAGAGUGGAGCCUCCACAGCUUGAUCUCUCCUGCAGCAUUCCGCACUUGCAAUCAAUAUCCCAAUGUGGUUUCCUUUUCAGCAAUUUUGCAGGAAUUUUCUCUUCCAACUUUGUUCCUCUUGUUGCUGUCUCUCACAAUUCUAUAUUGCGGAAUUGUAUCAUGAACAUCACAGUGAUCAAACUCAUGUCAGUAGAACCAAAUGCAGUUCCAUGUUUUGAAUUAAGGAAUCAAUUUUUGAUGCUAUGGAAGUCUCCUUCAAGGCUGGGGUCUUACCAAAGUUGUGUAAUUUGAGGAGAAUUCAGAUUGGUUUGAGAAGAUUGAAAAUGUAGCUACCACAGCUGGAAAGAAUUUCAUCACUUUAUCAAAACCAUUGACGUGCACACACUGCAUUUG
Molecule: long non-coding RNA, 596 nt
Organism: Vitis riparia (riverbank grape)
Lineage: Eukaryota; Viridiplantae; Streptophyta; Magnoliopsida; Vitales; Vitaceae
Exons: 4
Source: RefSeq, a predicted model, not a curated record